CCUACGGGAGGCAGCAGUGAGGAAUAUUGGUCAAUGGACGGAAGUCUGAACCAGCCAUGCCGCGUGCAGGAAGACGGCUCUCUGAGUUGUAAACUGCUUUUGUACAAGGGUAAACCUGAAUACGUGUAUUCAGCUGAAAGUACUGUACGAAUAAGGAUCGGCUAACUCCGUGCCAGCAGCCGCGGUAAUACGGAGGAUCCAAGCGUUAACCGGAUUUAUUGGGUGUAAAGGGUGCGUAGGCGGAUUGAUAAGUUAGAGGUUAAAUGUCCGAGCUUAACUCGGGAACUGCCUCUAAUACUGUUGGGCUAGAGAGUAGGUGCGGUAGGCGGAAUGUAUGGUGUAGCGGUGAAAUGCUUAGAGAUCAUGCAGAACACCAGUUGCGAAGGCAGCUUACCAAUCUAUAUCUGACGUUGAGGCACGAAAGCGUGGGGAGCAAACAGGAUUAGAUACCCCAGUAGUC
Molecule: ribosomal RNA, 460 nt
Filed under: uncultured bacterium
Lineage: Bacteria
Description: partial 16S ribosomal RNA
Rfam family: Bacterial small subunit ribosomal RNA
Source: RNAcentral